CCCCCGGACGAGUAAGUCGACUCUAAUGCUCGUCUUUGCACCAUCUUGGAGGAUGCGACCUUUGACGAUCGAAAGGUUAUCAAGGAGUUGAUUGAGAGGACAAUGCUCCUAAUGGAGUUGAGAGAAAUUGGCGGCAUGGAUUUCGAUGAUCUGCAACUAUGACUACCAUGCAUCAGGUACUUCCUUUGCUCUUUUUUUUAUUCUUUUACUUUUUUUUCUCCUCUUCAUCUCUCUUUCUAACAUGGCCUCUGUACAGAUGCUUCAUUUCUUAGUCAACCUACUGGGCCACACGCACAAAGUAGAGAUGAUGAAGGAUCUAUGUCGGCAGGCCGAGUCUGCCGUAGUGAAGGCACGUGUGCAGACCGAAACGGCUAGGGGAGAGGUGGAGCGCCUGAAGGAGGCGCUAAAUAAAACUAAUGCUGAUCUUGUUCGGAGAGAGAAGGAGCUACGGAGGCCGCUACCAAGAUCAUAGAGGCUGAGAAGAAAGUCGAGGACUUGAUCGCCGCAGCCAGGCAAGAGGCCGAGGAGAGGAUUGUUGAGGCUUGUCAAUCGGCCAUGGAGGCUUUCAAAGUUUCAGUAGUUUUUAAGCAGGAGAAAGCUCAAGCGGUUGAUAGCUUCAAGGCAUCAAAAGGAUUUUAUGAUGCCAUGGUCGUGUUCGGCUAGGAAUCCUUCAACACGGAGUAGGAAAUCAGAUUCGAGAAUUGCCACCGUCGAGUUGCCGCUCGAAUCCCUGAGGCCGACCUGUCCUUCUUGGAUGAGG
RNAcentral lists this long non-coding RNA (760 nucleotides) under Elaeis guineensis (African oil palm). RNAcentral's name for it is "long non-coding RNA (EGUI_LNC028405)". Lineage: Eukaryota; Viridiplantae; Streptophyta; Magnoliopsida; Arecales; Arecaceae. The record is from RNAcentral.